RNAcentral lists this ribosomal RNA (329 nucleotides) under uncultured eukaryote. Its description in RNAcentral is "partial 18S ribosomal RNA". It matches the Rfam family "Eukaryotic small subunit ribosomal RNA", at positions 1470 to 1796 of the family's 1831-position model. The record is from RNAcentral.
CCCUUAGACGUUCUGGGCCGCACGCGCGCUACAAUGAUGAAUUCAACGAGUUUAUAACCUUGGUUGAAAAGCCUGGGUAAUCUUUUGAACUUUCGUCGUGAUGGGGCUAGACCCUUGCAAUUAUUGGUCUCCAACGAGGAAUUCCUAGUAAACGCAAGUCAUCAGCUUGCAUUGAUUACGUCCCUGCCCUUUGUACACACCGCCCGUCGCACCUACCGAUUGAAUGGUCCGGUGAAAUCUUCGGAUUGAGACUUUGAUUUCUUCACGGAAAACGCUGUUUUAAGAAGUUGAUUAAACCUUACCAUUUAGAGGAAGGUGAAGUCGUAACA